AUUGAACGCUGGCGGAAUGCUUUACACAUGCAAGUCGAACGGCAGCACGGGGGCAACCCUGGUGGCGAGUGGCGAACGGGUGAGUAAUACAUCGGAACGUGCCCGGUCGUGGGGGAUAACGUAGCGAAAGUUACGCUAAUACCGCAUACGAUCUGAGGAUGAAAGCGGGGGACCUUCGGACCUCGCGCGAUCGGAGCGGCCGAUGUCAGAUUAGGUAGUUGGUGGGGUAAAGGCCUACCAAGCCGACGAUCUGUAGCUGGUCUGAGAGGACGACCAGCCACACUGGGACUGAGACACGGCCCAGACUCCUACGGGAGGCAGCAGUGGGGAAUUUUGGACAAUGGGCGCAAGCCUGAUCCAGCCAUUCUGCGUGCAGGACGAAGGCCUUCGGGUUGUAAACUGCUUUUGUAUGGAACGAAAAGGCUCUGGCUAAUACCUGGGGCUCAUGACGGUACCGUAAGAAUAAGCACCGGCUAACUACGUG
This 484-nucleotide ribosomal RNA is filed under the name uncultured bacterium. Its description in RNAcentral is "partial 16S ribosomal RNA". It matches the Rfam family "Bacterial small subunit ribosomal RNA", at positions 30 to 507 of the family's 1533-position model. The record is from RNAcentral.